CUCUCUCUCUCUCUCUCUCUCUCUAAAUAUCUACUUCUACUAUUUACAACAGUCCAUGUGAGAGAGAGAGAGAGAGAGAGGCGGAGGCGGAGCGACGUACGGCGACGGUGACGCAACCAGAUUCCCCUGGUUCAUCCUUCAAAUCUCGUCUUCGCUCUUCACGCUUCGUUUCCUCGUGGGUCGCUGUGCAUGGGGGUUGGGGAGUUCUUGGCGAAUGCGGCGAGGUCGUGUUCGGAUCUGCGUUUUUCUCUUCUUUUUUUUGUCUGGGUCAUCUUGGCCUGGGAUUGCUGUCGAAACGGUGCCUCGAUCGUGUUUGCAGGGGUUGAUUUGUCGGUCUUUCGUGGGUUGGGCUUGUUGGGUGAGCUCGUGUCUUGUUUUGGGUCGCUUGUUAAUGGCGUGGAGGGUGGGGGUGGGGUGAAGUCACUGGAGGCAGCGGUUCAUCGAUCUCUUCCUGGGGUAUUUUGUUGGUUCGAAUUGACAGAACGCAUGAAUCGGUCGAUAAACCUCUGCAUCCAGCGCUCACUCCUCUCUUUUGUUCUGGGUGUGUUUUGCUUUUGUUCUUUUUUUUUUUGUGUUUUUCUUCUUUUUUGGAUCUUGUUGGCUUGGUGAAAUCUUGGGAUGUUGAGAAAGGGGGAGUAGUUUUGGAAUUGGGGGGUCCAAUGAAUGAGAGAGUUUUCCUGGGAACCAUUUGGGACAUUUCGUUUCUGAGUGGAAGAGCUGUUUUUCAAGCAGUCUUUGAUGGAGGAAGAUGACCCGGGAGCUGUUGUGGUGAUUUCGGUAAGCUUGCAACUGUUAGAGCUGUGAUUUGUUGUCGAGACUCAUUUGGCCAUAUGAAGUUAACAAAUUGUUGGCUUAGCUAUAAAUUGCUCCGGGUCAAUUGACCUGCUUUGAAGAAUUACUAUAGUUGCCAAAGCAUGGAGGAAACAAUUGUCAAUUGAAUGUGCGGAGUUGAGUUGAUUUCUCCUCUCGUGCUUCAUCAUCAUCAUCAUUUCAGUUCAUUUCUGGUUCUUCCUCUCAGUCCCAGUUUCUUGGAAUAUUUGCUGAUAUAGGUUCUCUAAUGCAAAAAGAUGUUGAAUUUUGUGGGAACUUGUGGUUUUCCUUUUUUAAGUAGAAGUUUGAUGCCAUUUGCAAAAUGGUCAUUAUCUUCAUUACAAAGCCUGCAUAUGUUUAACAAUUCAAUCAGCUUGUCUUUCUAGAUGCCUUCCUCAAAGCGACUUGUUUAUCCUGAUUCUUCUUCAUAAUUAUCUUUUGACCUUUUGGCCAAAAGUUGUGUCCUUCGUGUUGAUGCAUUGGAAUAUUUACAAGCUCAAGCUUAUUAUUGCUUCUGCACCUUUUUACAUAAGAACUUUGGAGAUUGAUUUUUCCAGAAGUUUCUACAUGGUCAUGAGUGGUUUGAGUUUCGGGAAGUCAUUAGGUUUUUUAUUUUUUUUUCUUCUCUGUUCCUACGUUUGUUAGGGGAAGUGUGAUACUGGCUGUCUGCAAUGUACCGAAUAGUCUUCUCAUGGUCGCCUUCAUUUAGUUUUUGGAUGAAAGUGGUUCCCAUGAACAUGUCAUUUUCUUGAUCUGGUGGUAGAAAAGUGGUUCCUUGGUUCCUUUUGGUGCCCUAAGGGGACCAUCUUUGAAUGAAGUUCCAUGGGUAGGACAAGCUGCGGCUUCAAAGUAAGGAAAACAACAGCUUGUGGACUACAACUUGGGAGAGAGAAUCCGAAACAUUGAAGGAAGCACUUUUGGAAUCUGGCAUCAUGUUCUGCUUAUGAAGCUAGUUUGGAAAGAAAGAAAAAGAUUUGUGAGGAAAGAUUCUUUUGCGUACGCUGUGUAGGAAUCACCAAAUUCUGGGAACCUGGGUCUGUGGAAGAAUCUAGGAUGACAUCUGCAGGCUGAGGAUACUCUCUCUCUCUCUCUCUCUCUCUCUCUCUCUCUCUCUCUCUUUUCCUUUUUGGUUGGUUUUCAUUUUGAUUUUUGCUGUCUUAAAAUGUUUAUGCUCAGCAUAAUAUCUAAUUCCGUGGUUUGAUGGAUUGUUUGUGUACUUUUUUCGUAAGGUUAUGCUGCAGCGGCAUCGUAGUUCUAAUGCUGCAACCGGUGAUGUCGCUUGCAUUUAUUGUGUAUUUGUCACCUACAGGGCACCGUUUACCUAUAGUCGUUCGUUUUUCUAGUUUGACUUUUUCGCUUCUUUUCGAUAAAUGAUUCUUUUUCGGCCUCC
Molecule: long non-coding RNA, 2200 nt
Organism: Syzygium oleosum
Lineage: Eukaryota; Viridiplantae; Streptophyta; Magnoliopsida; Myrtales; Myrtaceae
Exons: 2
Source: RefSeq, a predicted model, not a curated record